UCACCACAAGGUCGACUUCAAUCAUACCUCAUGAAAAGUGCUUCACGUAAUCACUCUGAACACCUGCCCCCCCCCGCCUCAAACCUCUGGAUUCAUUCAUUUUUUCAUUUCAUUUCAUUAAUGGCUGUAAACUGGAUCCACCUCAUCGUGUCCUUCAUCAAAGAGAGGAAGAGGAGAGGAAGUCGUUGGUCUCGGGCCUCUCUGUAGUUGUGCCAGGGGCCGGACCGAGCGAGGGGAGGGAGAGGGAGAGGGAGAGGGGGGGGGGUCGAGUUGGCAAGGGACUGACAUCGAAAACAACAAAGGGCAACGUGAUAAUCCCCCCCUAAUGCCCCCUGUCUGCCCCGUGUCUGCAGUGGCUCUGUGGCGGGUGGCAGACUGAGUGCACCCAUGCCGAAGGGUUACCUGGGCGACGAAGCGCUCGUCUCAGCGUCCCGAAUUGGCGGGCUUUUUUUUUUUUUUUCUCCCCCUGCCGCUGAUUCAGCAGAGAUCAGACUGCAGCGUCGCCUGCGGUCGUCCAUUAUGCAACAGGCCCCUCAGUGCUGUGUGGACAGUGAGCGCCGGGGACCGGGACGCUCCCCGAGACGACGCUGCAGGGGGGCAGUGGGGGGGGGCUCGUAGUCCCGUUUGCAGAAUGAUACCCCCCCCUCUUCCCCGUUGGCCUGAGUCGUCCUCUGGCUCCGUGCACAUCUCCAUUGACCCACACAAAUGCACUUGCCCCAGUGGUCUUCACGGGGUCCUGGACACCCCUUCAAAAGCUGAAUAUACAGUAUUUGUCCUACGGAAUCGGACCCAAAUAUACACAAAGAAAGAGUUCAUGGAUUUGAUGGCAGAAGGAGAUUAUAGUACAUAAUGUAAAACCCGAGAUAAAUCCUUAUUAUUUGUGGUCCGAGGCGAAGCGCUGCUCCGGAGCUCCACUUUCCGGCGAUUUAAUGAGAUUCGACCCAUUGGCAUCAAUAGCAGCCACACGGAAACAGCCAAUCUUCUUGCUGAUGGUCUCCUUUACUCAAGUAGGUCACACAGAGACAUCAGUAUUACGUUUAGACGGUUUCAAAAUCAAACAUAAGCUCUUUGUUAGCAACUUUAGAAAAGUAUCGACUCUUAUGUUUAUUAAUAAAAGCAAAACAUGAAUAACCAACACACGUGACCCUGCAUGAAGUAUCCGUGGCAAACGUAGGACAUCAGAAGGGAGGAAACAGACCUGACAGGUGGAGCAAAAGUGAAUGAAAACAUAAUAAAACGACAACAAAAAAAACAUUACCGAGCGAUUUAUUCAGCACCAGAAUGUCACGAUUUGCAACAACAUGACAAUUGUCACAUUAGUGUGUUGAUGAAUAGCUCGUAUUAAGCCCAGAAGACAUGAACCCACUCAGCAAAGUGAUGAUCCCCCAUUAUGUGGUGAUGUGGUUUCUCCACAUGAGCCUCAUCCACGCCACUGCUCGAACGAAAAAACCGAUAAACACCUUUGUGACGGGAAUGUAAAUUCUCUGCAGCACAGCCGGCGUACGGCGCGAAACGCCUUCUGUGAGAUAACGGGUUUGGCAACCGUCUUCACUGGACGCCAUUCAAGUCGUGUUUAAUGUGCUCGUGUGAACUCGGCGUCCGCGGCCAUCUGCUCGCAGCCACAAAAAGCCGGCGCGUCAUUUCAGUUCAGUGAAUUAUUUGCAUUUUCUCACAUCAAUACCAGUUAUUUCUUGUGCGACGCAAGUGGGAUGUUCUCCGUCCUCGCGGGAUUCCCCUCGCCGACACAAGAGGAAUUCUUUUGGGAAGUAAAGACAAAAAACGAUGGCAACGCAGAGGGAACGCAAGCCUCGCUGAGGUGGUCUUCUUCUUCCUUUUGUUCAUUACAGUUGUGUUCAAAUAAUACGGCUUAAAGUCAUUUACAAAGCGGUCACUUUCACAGCAUGUUGUGAGCGAUCAUGCAUGUAAAUAAGCCUUGAGUCUUGAUCAUAUGAGCCUUUAUUAUUCCCAUUGCAUCAUUUAACAAUAUUAAGUGAAGCCAUGUUCCAAUGUGAUAUUGAGGCACAAAUAAAGUGGGUUUAUUCAUUGAGCUACUGCGACUGCAACUUUUAUUUUGACAAGGAUCCCUGACGAAAAGCUCAUUUUUCUGCAGAACGUAAGCACAUAUUUGAAAUAAGUCGGGGGGUUUUUGCCAACCUUUUUAAUUCUCUGUUUUCUUUCAUUCAUCCAACUUCUCUUUAGAGGGUUUGUGGGGUUCCGAAAUCAAUCCUUCCAAGUUCACAGGUCACCACAGGUCCCUCGAUGAAGCCCGAGCAGAAGCAGUUUCCA
Molecule: long non-coding RNA, 2286 nt
Organism: Gasterosteus aculeatus aculeatus (three-spined stickleback)
Lineage: Eukaryota; Metazoa; Chordata; Actinopteri; Perciformes; Gasterosteidae
Source: Ensembl